This 70-nucleotide transfer RNA is filed under the name Camelus ferus (Wild Bactrian camel). It matches the Rfam family "tRNA". Rfam says of the family: Transfer RNA (tRNA) molecules are approximately 80 nucleotides in length. Their secondary structure includes four short double-helical elements and three loops (D, anti-codon, and T loops). Further hydrogen bonds mediate the characteristic L-shaped molecular structure. tRNAs have two regions of fundamental functional importance: the anti-codon, which is responsible for specific mRNA codon recognition, and the 3' end, to which the tRNAs corresponding amino acid is attached (by aminoacyl-tRNA synthetases). tRNAs cope with the degeneracy of the genetic code in two manners: having more than one tRNA (with a specific anti-codon) for a particular amino acid; and 'wobble' base-pairing, i.e. permitting non-standard base-pairing at the 3rd anti-codon position. Lineage: Eukaryota; Metazoa; Chordata; Mammalia; Artiodactyla; Camelidae. The record is from Rfam by way of RNAcentral.
GGGUAUAGCUCAGGGGCAGAGUGUGUGCUUGGCAUGCACAAGGUCCUGGGUUCAAUCCCUGGUACUUCCA